This 311-nucleotide long non-coding RNA is filed under the name Setaria viridis. RNAcentral describes it as "long non-coding RNA (SVIR_LNC009487)". Lineage: Eukaryota; Viridiplantae; Streptophyta; Magnoliopsida; Poales; Poaceae. The record is from RNAcentral.
GGAGCCGGACCGGAGGUGUAGAUUUAAAGAUGCUUUUUACUAGGAUCAAAUCUAUGUUGCUUUGCUAUCCAUGCUCAGAAUUACAACAUAUGCAUAGUCUAGGUUGCUCUAGAUUGGUUACCUCUACUCUAUUUGUUAUCUGUCUGUACAUAGUAGAUUGGAUCUAAAUCUCUCAUCAACACUAAGUUCAUACUAACAAUGCUAGCUAGUUGAAGUAGAUCUUGUGCUAUAAGUUCCACGGAUUGAUAAACUUUUAGGGAAGUGCGCUUCCAGUUCACAAAUUGGCGUGCUAACCACCAUCAACACGCCAA